GUUCUCUGCUACUGCCUGGGUGUCAUGCCACCCUAGAUGAAGUUCUCUGCUACUGCCUGGGUGUCAUGCUACCCUAGAUGAAGUUCUCUGCUACUGCCUGGGUGUCAUGCCACCCCUAGAGGAGGUUCUCUGCUUCUGCCUGGGUGUCAUGCCACCCUAGAGGAGGUUCUCUGCUACUGCCUGGGUGUCAUGCUUUCCUAGAGGAAGUUCUCUGCUACUGCCUGGGUGUCAUGCCACCCUAGAGGAAGUUCUCUGCUACUGCCUGGGUGUCAUGCCACCCCUUAGAGGAGGUUCUCUGCUUCUGCCUGGGUGUCAUGCCACCCUAGAGGAGGUUCUCUGCUACUGCCUGGGUGUCAUGUCACCCCUAGAGGAGGUUCUCUGCUACUGCCUGGGUGUCAUGUCACCCCUAGAGGAGGUUCUCUGCUACUCCCUGGGUGUCAUGCCACCCCUUAGAGGUUCUCUGCUACUGCCUGGGUGUCAUGCCACCCCUAGAGGAGGUUCUCUGCUACUGCCUGGGUGUCAUUCUACCCUAGAGGAGGUUCUCUGCUUCUGCCUGAGUGUCAUGCCACCCUUAGAGGAGGUUCUCUGCUACUGCCUGGGUGUCAUGCUACCCUAGAUGAAGUUCUCUGCUACUGCCUGGGUGUCAUGCCACCCCUAGAGGAGGUUCUCUGCUUCUGCCUGGGUGUCAUGCCACCCUAGAGGAGGUUCUCUGCUACUGCCUGAGUGUCAUGCCACCCUAGAGGAAGUUCUCUGCUACUGCCUGAGUGUCAUGCCACCCUUAGAGGAGGUUCUCUGCUUCUGCCUGGGUGUCAUGCCACCCUAGAGGAGGUUCUCUGCUACUGCCUGCGUGUCAUGCCACCCCUAGAGGAGGUUCUCUGCUACUGCUUGCGUGUCACCCUAGAGGAGGUUAUCUGCUACUGCCUGCGUGUCACCCCUAGAGGAGGUGCUCUGCUACUGCCUGCGUGUCACCCCUAGAGGAGGUUUUCUGCUACUGCCUGCGUGUCACCCCGAGAGGAGGUUCUCUGCUACUGCCCGCGUGUCCCCCCUAGAGGAGGGCACCUUGAUUGGUCCUAGACAGGGUUACCUGCCUCGCCUCGCUCCUUACCGUAUGGGCCGAGAACAGCAGUCUGCUGCUCGUACUGGGCGCAGAUGAAAUGAUAAACACCUCAUCUGUCCCCAAGUCCAGUUCCGUGAGACCAUUGGAUGAGAGGUCCACUUCAGCAUGCUCAGACAUAUCAC
This is a long non-coding RNA of Oncorhynchus tshawytscha (Chinook salmon), 1239 nucleotides long. NCBI's taxonomy places the organism in Eukaryota, Metazoa, Chordata, Actinopteri, Salmoniformes, Salmonidae. The record is from Ensembl.